UCGAGAAUCUUCCGCAAUGGACGAAAGUCUGACGGAGCGACGUUACGUGAAUGAAGAAGCCCUUCGGGGUGUAAAGUUCUUUUAUAUGGGAGGAAGGCGCAAGCCAGACAGUACCAUAUGAAUAAGGGGAUCCUAAUUCUGUGCCAGCAGGAGCGGUAAUACAGAAUCCCCAAGCGUUACCCGGAUUUAUUGGGCGUAAAGGGUCCGUAGGUGGUAAAGUAAGUUUCGAGUUAAAUCUCAUCGGCUCAACCUUUGAAUUGCUCGAAAUACUGCUAUACUUGAGGAUGUUAGGGGUGAACGGAACCGACGGAGUAGGGGUGAAAUCCGUUGAUAUCGUCGGGAACACCAAAAGCGAAGGCAGUUCACUAGGACAAUCCUGACACUGAGGGACGAAAGCGUGGGGAGCAAAAAGG
Molecule: ribosomal RNA, 413 nt
Filed under: uncultured bacterium
Lineage: Bacteria
Description: bacterial SSU rRNA
Rfam family: Bacterial small subunit ribosomal RNA
Source: RNAcentral